Molecule: transfer RNA, 59 nt
Filed under: Mus musculus (house mouse)
Lineage: Eukaryota; Metazoa; Chordata; Mammalia; Rodentia; Muridae
Also listed under: 1 other name
Rfam family: tRNA
About the family: Transfer RNA (tRNA) molecules are approximately 80 nucleotides in length. Their secondary structure includes four short double-helical elements and three loops (D, anti-codon, and T loops). Further hydrogen bonds mediate the characteristic L-shaped molecular structure. tRNAs have two regions of fundamental functional importance: the anti-codon, which is responsible for specific mRNA codon recognition, and the 3' end, to which the tRNAs corresponding amino acid is attached (by aminoacyl-tRNA synthetases). tRNAs cope with the degeneracy of the genetic code in two manners: having more than one tRNA (with a specific anti-codon) for a particular amino acid; and 'wobble' base-pairing, i.e. permitting non-standard base-pairing at the 3rd anti-codon position.
Source: Rfam by way of RNAcentral
AUAGCUCAGUGGUAGAGCAUUUGUCUAGAAUGCAUAAGACCCUGGGUUCAAUCCCCAGU